RNAcentral lists this ribosomal RNA (324 nucleotides) under uncultured eukaryote. RNAcentral's name for it is "partial 18S ribosomal RNA". It matches the Rfam family "Eukaryotic small subunit ribosomal RNA", at positions 1470 to 1796 of the family's 1831-position model. The record is from RNAcentral.
CCCCUAGAUGUUCUGGGCCGCACGCGCGCUACACUGAACAGUUCAACAAGUCUUAACCUUGGCCGAUAGGUCUGGGUAAUCUUUGAACGCUGUUCGUGAUUGGGAUAGACCUUUGCAAUUAUGGGUCUUCAACGAGGAAUUCCUAGUAAACGCAAGUCAUCAGCUUGCAUUGAUUACGUCCCUGCCCUUUGUACACACCGCCCGUCGCACCUACCGAUUGAAUGGUCCGGUGAGAUCCUCGGACUGCGAUGACGCUCUGGCAACAGAGUUAAUUGCGGAAAGUUGAUCAAACCUUACCAUUUAGAGGAAGGUGAAGUCGUAACA